Long non-coding RNA from Homalodisca vitripennis (glassy-winged sharpshooter), 197 nucleotides. RefSeq lists it as uncharacterized. The record is from RefSeq and is a predicted model, not a curated record. NCBI's taxonomy places the organism in Eukaryota, Metazoa, Arthropoda, Insecta, Hemiptera, Cicadellidae. The transcript has 3 exons.
AGAAUUCUCACCUGAUGUCCGUUCGUUAUGCCCUGGAGUCUGUGCGGUCCGGCUACCUCCUUGUAAUGCAGCAGGCUUGUGGUGGACAGUUUUAGCUAGCAAUUCCUCCAUUGGGCAAUGCGGGGCAUUGAACAACCAGUAUCCUUGCAAAUGUUUGGGAUACAAGAUAACCACCAGUUCCUGUCCACCUUGCAUUA